GAUGAACGCUGGCGGCGUGCCUAACACAUGCAAGUCGAACGGUACCAGGCUUUCACUGUCUGUUCCUCGCAACUAGUUUCUAGUUGAUUUCGAGGAAAAGAGAGUGAAAGCGCUGGCGAGUGGCGGACGGCUGAGUAACGCGUGGGAACGUGCCCCAAAGUGAGGAAUAAGCACCGGAAACGGUGUCUAAUGCCGCAUAUGAUCUUUGGAUUAAAGUAUUUAUACGCUUUGGGAGCGGCCCGCGUCGGAUUAGGUUGUUGGUGAGGUAAUGGCUCACCAAGCCGACGAUCCGUAGCUGGUCUGAGAGGAUGACCAGCCAGACUGGAACUGAGACACGGUCCAGACUCCUACGGGAGGCAGCAGUGAGGAAUCUUCCACAAUGGGCGAAAGCCUGAUGGAGCAACGCCGCGUGCAGGAUGAAGGCCUUCGGGUCGUAAACUGCUUUAUUUGUUGAAGAAUAUGACGGUAACAAAUAGAAUAAGGAAUCGGCUAACUACG
This 498-nucleotide ribosomal RNA is filed under the name uncultured bacterium. Its description in RNAcentral is "bacterial SSU rRNA". It matches the Rfam family "Bacterial small subunit ribosomal RNA", at positions 28 to 505 of the family's 1533-position model. The record is from RNAcentral.